UGGCACAAGGGUCAAAGAUUUAGUCGGUGUAGGAUGGACCCGCGUCUGAUUAGCUAGUUGGUGAAGGGUAACCGGCCCACCAAGGCGACGAUCAGUAGCCGGCUUGAGAGAGUGAACGGCCACAUUGGGACUGAGACACGGCCCAAACUCCUACGGGAGGCAGCAGUGGGGAAUAUUGCACAAUGGGGGAAACCCUGAUGCAGCGACGCCGCGUGAGUGAUGAAGUAUUUCGGUAUGUAAAGCUCUAUCAGCAGGGAAGAUAAUGACGGUACCUGACUAAGAAGCCCCGGCUAACUACGUG
Molecule: ribosomal RNA, 301 nt
Filed under: uncultured bacterium
Lineage: Bacteria
Description: bacterial SSU rRNA
Rfam family: Bacterial small subunit ribosomal RNA
Source: RNAcentral